This 79-nucleotide transfer RNA is filed under the name Neisseria flavescens SK114. RNAcentral's name for it is "tRNA-Arg". It matches the Rfam family "tRNA". Rfam says of the family: Transfer RNA (tRNA) molecules are approximately 80 nucleotides in length. Their secondary structure includes four short double-helical elements and three loops (D, anti-codon, and T loops). Further hydrogen bonds mediate the characteristic L-shaped molecular structure. tRNAs have two regions of fundamental functional importance: the anti-codon, which is responsible for specific mRNA codon recognition, and the 3' end, to which the tRNAs corresponding amino acid is attached (by aminoacyl-tRNA synthetases). tRNAs cope with the degeneracy of the genetic code in two manners: having more than one tRNA (with a specific anti-codon) for a particular amino acid; and 'wobble' base-pairing, i.e. permitting non-standard base-pairing at the 3rd anti-codon position. The record is from RNAcentral. Lineage: Bacteria; Pseudomonadati; Pseudomonadota; Betaproteobacteria; Neisseriales; Neisseriaceae.
UGCACCCGUAGCUCAGUUGGAUAGAGUAUCUGGCUACGAACCAGAGGGUCGGGCGUUCGAAUCGCUCCGGGUGCGCCAC